This 144-nucleotide ribosomal RNA is filed under the name uncultured Streptococcus sp. RNAcentral's name for it is "partial 16S ribosomal RNA". It matches the Rfam family "Bacterial small subunit ribosomal RNA", at positions 1241 to 1382 of the family's 1533-position model. The record is from RNAcentral. Lineage: Bacteria; Bacillati; Bacillota; Bacilli; Lactobacillales; Streptococcaceae.
AACGAGUUGCGAGUCGGUGACGGCGAGCUAAUCUACUUAAAGCCAAUCUCAGUUCGGAUUGUAGGCUGCAACUCGCCUACAUGAAGUCGGAAUCGCUAGUAAUCGGCGGAUCAGCACGCCGCGGUGAAUACGUUCCCGGGCCUU